Molecule: ribosomal RNA, 299 nt
Filed under: uncultured bacterium
Lineage: Bacteria
Description: partial 16S ribosomal RNA
Rfam family: Bacterial small subunit ribosomal RNA
Source: RNAcentral
CUCUCCUACGGGACGCAGCAGUGGGGAAUAUUGCACAAUGGGGGAAACCCUGAUGCAGCGACGCCGCGUGAAGGAAGAAGUAUUUCGGUAUGUAAACUUCUCUCAGCAGGGAAGAAAAUGACGGUACCUGACUAAGAAGCCCCGGCUAACUACGUGCCAGCAGCCGCGGUAAUACGUAGGGGGCAAGCGUUAUCCGGAUUUACUGGGUGUAAAGGGAGCGUAGACGGCAGCGCAAGUCUGGAGUGAAAUGCCGGGGCUCAACCCCGGAACUGCUUUGGAAACUGUGCGGCUCGAGUGCG